AUUGAACGCUGGCGGCAUGCCUUACACAUGCAAGUCGAACGGCAGCACGGGAGCAAUCCUGGUGGCGAGUGGCGAACGGGUGAGUAAAGUAUCGGAACGUGCCCAGUCGUGGGGGAUAACGUAGAGAAAGUUACGCUAAUACCGCAUACGAUCUAUGGAUGAAAGCGAGGGAUCGCAAGACCUCGCGCGAUUGGAGCGGCCGAUAUCAGAUUAGGUAGUUGGUGGGGUAAAGGCUCACCAAGCCGACGAUCUGUAGCUGGUCUGAGAGGACGACCAGCCACACUGGGACUGAGACACGGCCCAGACUCCUACGGGAGGCAGCAGUGGGGAAUUUUGGACAAUGGGCGAAAGCCUGAUCCAGCCAUGCCGCGUGCAGGAUGAAGGCCUUCGGGUUGUAAACUGCUUUUGUACGGAACGAAAAGGUUUGGCCUAAUAAGCUGAGCUCAUGACGGUACCGUAAAAAUAAGCACCGGCUAACUACGUGCCAGCCGCCGCGGUAA
This 500-nucleotide ribosomal RNA is filed under the name uncultured bacterium. RNAcentral describes it as "partial 16S ribosomal RNA". It matches the Rfam family "Bacterial small subunit ribosomal RNA", at positions 30 to 523 of the family's 1533-position model. The record is from RNAcentral.